GGGAAGNCCAGCCAGUUGGGGGNAAUNAUUUGGACAAAUUGGGCCCAAAGCCGUGAAUUCCAAGCCAAUAACCNGCGUUGGGUNAAACCNAGGCCUUUCGGGUUGUUAAAAGCCCNUUUUGUUUUGGGAAAGAAAANUCCCUCUCGAAUUNGAUANCUCGGUUGGGGGAUGNCCGGUACCCCAAAGAAUUAAGCACCCGGGUUAACUUCGUGCCCAGCCAGCCCGCCGGUUAAUAACGAAGGGGUGCAAGCGUUUACUCGGAAUUUACCUGGGCNUNAAAGCGUGCGUAGGUGGUGGUUUUAAGUUGCCUGUGAAACCCCUGGGCUCAACCCUGGGAAUUGCAGUGGAUACUGGAUCACUAGAGUGUGGUAGAGGGAUCCGGAAAUUUCUGGUGUANCAGUGAAAUGCGUAGAGAUCAGAAGGAACAUCCGUGUCGAAGNCGGCAUCCUGGGCCAACACUGACACUGAGGCACGCAAGCGUGGGGAGCANACAGGAUUAGAUACCCUGGUAGUCCACGCCNUAAACGAUGCGAACUGGAUGUUGGGUUCAACUUGGCACCCAGUAUCGAAGCUAACGCGUUAAGUUCNCCGCCUGGGGAGUACGGUCGCAAGACUGAAACUCAAAGGGAAUUGACGGGG
Molecule: ribosomal RNA, 639 nt
Filed under: uncultured bacterium
Lineage: Bacteria
Description: partial 16S ribosomal RNA
Rfam family: Bacterial small subunit ribosomal RNA
Source: RNAcentral